AGAUCACCUAACUCCCCUCCCCCCAGCUGGUGGCUUCCCUCGACACUUGGAGUAAAAGGCAAAGUCCAUACCAAGCCGGUGCAGUCUGGAUGCCCUUCUCCACACUCCACCUUCAUCUCGGAUUGAAGAUGAGGAAACUGAGGCUGGGCAAGAGUGGAUACCCUGUCCAAGGCCACGUGGCUGUGAGGUGACAAAGCAAGGAUUCAAAUCCAGAGCCACACAUUUACCCACCAAGCUCUCCAAGAGCUGAUGAAGACAAGCCAUAGCAGGUACCAGCUGACUAAGAACAACUUACAGAAGAAACAUUUAACCUGAAAAGUCUUAUCCAUUUCCUUCUUCCACUUGGUGUUGGCUGGGCCUGAUUGAAAGAGAGCCAUGACUUGCCCCUUUGGAUUAUUUGAGGAAUGAGCAGAGUGUAUCUAAAAUGAAGCUUGUGAUGGACUUCCCGGGUGGCGCGGUGGUUAAGAAUCCACCUGCCAAUGCAGGGGACACCGGUUCGAGCCCUGGUCCGGGAAGAUUCCACAUGCUGCAGAGUAACUAAGCCCGUGCGCCCCAACUACUGAAGCCCACGCGCCUAGAGCCCGUGCUCCACAGCAAGAGAAGCCACCGUAAUGAGAAGCCCGCGCACCGCAACGAAGAGUAGCCCCCGCUCAACGCAACUAGAGAAAG
This is a long non-coding RNA of Globicephala melas (long-finned pilot whale), 669 nucleotides long. RefSeq lists it as uncharacterized. The record is from RefSeq and is a predicted model, not a curated record. Lineage: Eukaryota; Metazoa; Chordata; Mammalia; Artiodactyla; Delphinidae.